CUUUAGGCUUCACUAGAAGCCACCAUUAUUAUUAUUAAUUUUAUU
Molecule: non-coding RNA, 45 nt
Organism: Eimeria praecox
Lineage: Eukaryota; Apicomplexa; Conoidasida; Eucoccidiorida; Eimeriidae
Source: Rfam